GAUGAACGCUGGCGGCGUGCCUAAUACAUGCAAGUCGAGCGAACAGACGAGGAGCUUGCUCCUCUGACGUUAGCGGCGGACGGGUGAGUAACACGUGGAUAACCUACCUAUAAGACUGGGAUAACUUCGGGAAACCGGAGCUAAUACCGGAUAAUAUAUUGAACCGCAUGGUUCAAUAGUGAAAGACGGUUUUGCUGUCACUUAUAGAUGGAUCCGCGCCGCAUUAGCUAGUUGGUAAGGUAACGGCUUACCAAGGCAACGAUGCGUAGCCGACCUGAGAGGGUGAUCGGCCACACUGGAACUGAGACACGGUCCAGACUCCUACGGGAGGCAGCAGUAGGGAAUCUUCCGCAAUGGGCGAAAGCCUGACGGAGCAACGUCGCGUGAGUGAUGAAGGUCUUCGGAUCUUAAAACUCUGUUAUUAGGGAAGAACAAAUGUGUAAGUAACUAUGCACGUCUUGACGGUACCUAAUCAGAAAGCCACGGCUAACUACGUG
Molecule: ribosomal RNA, 497 nt
Filed under: uncultured bacterium
Lineage: Bacteria
Description: partial 16S ribosomal RNA
Rfam family: Bacterial small subunit ribosomal RNA
Source: RNAcentral